Molecule: long non-coding RNA, 195 nt
Organism: Zingiber officinale
Lineage: Eukaryota; Viridiplantae; Streptophyta; Magnoliopsida; Zingiberales; Zingiberaceae
Exons: 3
Source: RefSeq, a predicted model, not a curated record
AUGCAUUAACUGUUUGUUCUAUUAACAAGGAAUAGAGGUUAGGGUGCUUUGCGAAAAAGCUAAGGAGGUUUUAAUGGAAGAAAGCAAUGUUCAGGCCAACUGUUCAAUCUGUUCAAAGCUCACAAAGAUCCUAGACAAAAUCCAAUUGCUCACAAGAUUAUUUUGUGCUCUUUUGUUUUAUUUGUGAAUAUCACU